AUUGAACGCUGGCGGCAUGCUUUACACAUGCAAGUCGAACGGCAGCGCGGGCUUCGGCCUGGCGGCGAGCGGCGAACGGGUGAGUAAUGCAUCGGAACGUGCCCAGUAGUGGGGGAUAGCCCGGCGAAAGCCGGAUUAAUACCGCAUACGACCUGAGGGUGAAAGCGGGGGACCGAAAGGCCUCGCGCUAUUGGAGCGGCCGAUGUCGGGUUAGCUAGUUGGUGGGGUAAAGGCUUACCAAGGCGACGAUCCGUAGCUGGUCUGAGAGGACGACCAGCCACACUGGGACUGAGACACGGCCCAGACUCCUACGGGAGGCAGCAGUGGGGAAUUUUGGACAAUGGGGGCAACCCUGAUCCAGCCAUGCCGCGUGCGGGAAGAAGGCCUUCGGGUUGUAAACCGCUUUUGUUCGGGAAGAAAUCCUCUGGGCUAAUACCCCGGGGGGAUGACGGUACCGGAAGAAUAAGCACCGGCUAACUACGUG
RNAcentral lists this ribosomal RNA (484 nucleotides) under uncultured bacterium. Its description in RNAcentral is "partial 16S ribosomal RNA". It matches the Rfam family "Bacterial small subunit ribosomal RNA", at positions 28 to 507 of the family's 1533-position model. The record is from RNAcentral.